UCUACGGUGGGCAGCAGUGGGGAAUAUUGCACAAUGGGGGAAACCCUGAUGCAGCAACGCCGCGUGGGUGAAGAAGUAUUUCGGUAUGUAAAGCCCUAUCAGCAGGGAAGAGAAUGACGCUACCUGACUAAGAAGCCCCGGCGAACUGCGUGCCAGCAGCCGCGGUAACACGUAGGGGGCAAGCGUGAUCCGGAUUUACUGGGUGUAAAGGGAGCGUAGGCGGUUGUGCAAGUCUGAAGGGAAAGCCCGGGGCUCAAAUGCGGAACGGCUUUGGAAACUGUGUUACUGGAGUGCGGGAGAGGUAGGCGGAAUACGUGGUGUAGCGGUGAAAUGCGUAGAGAUCAGGAGGAACACCGGCGGCGAAGGCGGCUUACUGGACAGUAACUGACGUUGAGGCUCGAAAGCGUGGGGAGCAAACAGGAUUAGAUACCCCGGUAGUC
RNAcentral lists this ribosomal RNA (440 nucleotides) under uncultured bacterium. Its description in RNAcentral is "partial 16S ribosomal RNA". It matches the Rfam family "Bacterial small subunit ribosomal RNA", at positions 338 to 795 of the family's 1533-position model. The record is from RNAcentral.